UGGGGGGGAAGGGAGGGGCUGAGGAGGGGGGAAGGGAAGGGGGCUAGGGUGGGCCUAAGGGCUUGGGAGAGGGUAGGUGCUGCAGGGUGGUGGUAGGCAUAGAGGGUGGUGUUUGGGCAGCAGGAUUGAAGGGGGAUGGUACCAGCGGGGCGCACGUGUCGAGCAUAGCACCUGUGGCAAGCAGCCUGUCAGAGGAUGUUCCUACACCUGCCAAGUGGUGUAUCCAGAAACAAAGGAGGCCCAGCUUAUAAUUCUUCAACUGUGUGCAAUGUUUAGCGAAAUCAUUGUACCAGGAAAUAAUUCUGCCUAAAUGGGGCAGUCCACACUGGCAGGAAUGUAGGCUGAUCUGUCGACAACCGCCGAAGAAUGACCUCAAUGUUAAAAAUGCAGAUUCCCGGGUCCCACCCCAAAUCUCAUCAGAAGACCGAAUUUUUAACAAGACUCAAAGGUUCGGAAUUAGUGCUGCUAAUUCUCUUCACCAGUGGGGAAGGAAGAUUUUGCUGUAAAGGCCUAGCAGCCUCCUGUCAGCCAGUAGAUCUAGGCUGAACCUGAUGAGAGGAGGAAAUUUUUCUACUAUUAGGCAAAAACACAUAUAAGAAACAGCAGAUUAGGAAAAAAAUUAGGUGCCAAAGUGUGUAGUUCAAACCAGGCAAUGUGGGAGAUCACAGAGAAAUCCCUGUGGGAGGGGAGUGUUAGCCACCAUAAAUACCUGUUGAGGUUUCUUCUCUGCAGGGCAUCUUUUUUUGGAGGUACAGACCUGGUUCCCAGGGUCCCUGGAGGCCCUUGCACUUCAAGAGUCCUCGCCUUUCUCUUUGGGGCAGCUUCAGCCCACCCCGUCCUCUUCUGGACUGAGGACUGAAAAUGGAUGCACACCCUCUGCAGUUGCUGUGUUUCUUCUCACAGCCCCAUCAUUCCUACCACCAGCUGUUAGGCCCCAGCCACUGCCACAGUCUGGAGGAGGCUAAACAGCUUGACAAGCACCUGUUGUGUCAUACCCCCGAAGUUGUCCCCUGUAUUUAGAAGGCCAGUCUUCCCCCAAGCCUUGUGCCCUCCAUUGCCCCACUCCGCACACGUAUAUCACCGCCAUGUACCCCAUCCCUGCCAGCAGAACCACUGGGCAAUGCAUCACCAUUUUAGGGUUCACCCCCUAGAGCAGUUACAUAUUCUCUGUCACUUGUUUGCCAAGAGCUUGAGGUUUGUGAGCUGAAUCCACCUUACCACCACCACCCUCACCCUCAC
Molecule: long non-coding RNA, 1239 nt
Organism: Bubalus bubalis (water buffalo)
Lineage: Eukaryota; Metazoa; Chordata; Mammalia; Artiodactyla; Bovidae
Exons: 2
Source: RefSeq, a predicted model, not a curated record